This 1828-nucleotide unclassified non-coding RNA is filed under the name Hevea brasiliensis (rubber tree). The record is from RNAcentral. Lineage: Eukaryota; Viridiplantae; Streptophyta; Magnoliopsida; Malpighiales; Euphorbiaceae.
AAUAAACUACAACUCAAGAUGUAUGAAUGAAUCCUCUGUAGCCAUUUCACCCCAAGAAUAAGCAAAACAGAAUUCAGAUAAGUGAAACCAUCAUUGGAACUGCAUCUAGUGAACAGAUGGAGCAUACAUGUCUUGAGAGUUCAAGGCCUAAGCAAGCCUAUAAAAACAUCUGUUGCAUUUCUUUUGGAAUGACCGAUAAACUACUAAAUAAAGAGUGGUACAAGGUUGGAAAUUUGGCUUCAAUAGGUAGUUCAGCUGGUUUCUAGGGGGUGAAAGUAGUGAAAAAUAAAGGAAUAGAAGACAAGUAAGAUGGAUUUGUGACAAUGUCAGCCCUGUUUGGAGUCUGCAUCACAUUUCUCGUUUUUCAUCAGUGACGUUUUCUGCUAGUUGCACUGCAGUUUUUGUUUCCUUAGUUAUGCUAACCCCUCGAUUGAUACCUUGAGGGAUGGAAAUGUGAUCACCAGAACCAAAACCGUGGGUGAAACCUGCUUUGCCAGAUGACCUGCCAUGCAACUCUCUUAUUAAAGCUAGGUUAUUGCCCUUGGUUGUCUCAUUCUCUGCUUUAGGCAAAUAGUUUUCUCCAGUUGAUGGCCUUGCUGUAGGUUUUGGAGCAUAUGUUGUUGACCAAGAUCCUCCAUUUGAUCCAGCCAAGGACAUUAUAACAUCUGCCUUGUUGGGAUGGACAUUAUCGAAAACAUGGGCUUGACCCCCGUAAAAUAUAGUCAUUUGAGAGCCAGCAGGUGACGAUCCUUGCCGACAUGGGUUAGAAGAUUCUAGGUCAGAGAAGUGAAGUGUAGACUUCUGCUUAGCACCACUUAAUGGCAACCCAGAAAGGCUUCUAUCAGAGAUUCCACCACUUGCAUUAAUGGAGCUCAAUAUUCCGGAUCCUUUGAUUCCUGUCCUUGAUCCUUCAUCGGCAGCUUGAGAUAUGUUAGAAGGUCCUGCAUUAGCAUCUCCAAACCUGCUGGAUGACGAUUGAUAUCCAAAAGGUAAAACAUGACUAGCACGUGGAGGAUACUGCAAGGUGGGACCAACAUUGACGGGAAUAACUCGAUCCCACUUGGAAGCAUUGACAUCAGUUCUACCAGUGGCGGAUGGUUGUGAUAUUAAAGAGGGAUGAAGUGGCCUCAAUGGAUGCAUAACAAAGGACAUUUCUUGGUCCUGUGGUCGUCCAUGUCGCUCACCCCCUGCAUUUCGUAGUAGCUUCUGCAUAUGCGAGCUCUCCAAUGCGUCUGGUCGCAGCAUUGCAAAUUUAUCUCUUGUUAACCCCAUCAAAGAGUCAGAAUUGCUUCUUUUUGUUCCCGACAAUCGAUUACUUGUCUCAGGCCCUGAAAGUUCACCCCUUAGGCCAUAGAACGGUACUCCUUCGAAAUGAUUUCCUACAACUCUUUCAGAACCCAGAUCAGAAGUAGUGGAAAUGGGGCCACGGCCACCCCCAGAAGAAGCACCAAGUGAGACAGAAGCAGACGGAGAUGCCUCUGACGGCAACACCACUCUGCCAGACAUCGCCGGAGAUGAAUCUUGAGUAUACCCUUUACCCAAAAAAUCAUGAAAAGUAGUGGCUGCUGGUUUCACUUCAUCUGCUUCAGUUGCAGUACCACUAACACUUUUGUUACUUUGGAUGUGAGCCAUACAUGAACAAACAGUACCAUCACCAACAAACCCAUUUCAUCCCUAUACAACUAUCUCCUUGAAGCUCCAUAAUCAAGUCUAGUAAAGGGGGUGGGGGUGAGAAAGAACCAAAAAAGCAAUAAUCUUUGCACAAGAAAGAUGGGGGAGAAAAGGUCACAACACACAGCUAUUGUACUUCAGUGUGAGCUUAUCUGCA